AUCUAACAAGUGAUGAUGAAGGAUACUAUCAAGUAUUAAUAUGGCAUCCAGCUGGGUAUAAGAAUAAAACAACCUAUCUUAAAAUAAAUACUAUACCAGUGGGUACAGAAGAAAAACCAUCUACUGCUUCAUCUACUACAAAUUCAAAUGGAUUGAUCAUUGGUACAGCUUUAGCAUCAGGGUUUGCACUAAUGGCACUGUGCCUCAUAGUGUUGGGAGUCAUUU
Molecule: long non-coding RNA, 225 nt
Organism: Amphimedon queenslandica
Lineage: Eukaryota; Metazoa; Porifera; Demospongiae; Haplosclerida; Niphatidae
Exons: 2
Source: RefSeq, a predicted model, not a curated record